GAUGAAGAACGCAGCGAAAUGCGAUAAGUAAUGUGAAUUGCAGAAUUCAGUGAAUCAUCGAAUCUUUGAACGCUCCUUGCAGCCUUUGGCAUUCCGAAGGGUAUGCUCGUUUGAGUGUCAUUGUACUCUCACACUUCCGAUCUUUGGAUUGGGAGCGGUGGACUUGGGUGUUGCUGCUUACUGUGGCUCACCUCAAAUCGAUUCGUGCACCUCUUGGUUGGACAUAGUACGGCGUGAUAAGUGUCUUCGCCGGCACCUCAGUAGAGGGUGGCUCAUCGGGAGCUCUGUGCUUCAAACCGUCCUCGGACAACAACUGACAACUUGACCUCAAAUCGAGUAGGACUACCCGCUGAACUUAAGCAUAUCAAUAAGCGGAGGA
This 379-nucleotide unclassified non-coding RNA is filed under the name soil metagenome. Its description in RNAcentral is "partial contains 5.8S ribosomal RNA, internal transcribed spacer 2, and large subunit ribosomal RNA". The stretch from base 1 to 120 matches the Rfam family "5.8S ribosomal RNA", at positions 35 to 154 of the family's 154-position model. The record is from RNAcentral.